UGAUCCAGACUUUGAUCCUGGCUCAGGACGAACGCUGGCGGCGCGCCUAACACAUGCAAGUCGAACGAGAGAUGAGGAGCUUGCUCUUCAAAUCGAGUGGCGAACGGGUGAGUAACGCGUGAGGAACCUGCCUCAAAGAGGGGGACAACAGUUGGAAACGACUGCUAAUACCGCAUAAGCCCACGACUCGGCAUCGAGCAGAGGGAAAAGGAGUAAUCCGCUUUGAGAUGGCCUCGCGUCCGAUUAGCUAGUUGGUGAGGUAAUGGCCCACCAAGGCGACGAUCGGUAGCCGGACUGAGAGGUUGAACGGCCACAUUGGGACUGAGACACGGCCCAGACUCCUACGGGAGGCAGCAGUGGGGAAUAUUGCACAAUGGGGGAAACCCUGAUGCAGCGACGCCGCGUGGAGGAAGAAGGUCUUCGGAUUGUAAACUCCUGUUGUUGAGGAAGAUAAUGACGGUACUCAACAAGGAAGUGACGGCUAACUACGUGCCAGCAGCCGCGGUAAAACGUAGGUCACAAGCGUUGUCCGGAAUUACUGGGUGUAAAGGGAGCGCAGGCGGGAGAACAAGUUGGAAGUGAAAUCCAUGGGCUCAACCCAUGAACUGCUUUCAAAACUGUUUUUCUUGAGUAGUGCAGAGGUAGGCGGAAUUCCCGGUGUAGCGGUGGAAUGCGUAGAUAUCGGGAGGAACACCAGUGGCGAAGGCGGCCUACUGGGCACCAACUGACGCUGAGGCUCGAAAGUGUGGGUAGCAAACAGGAUUAGAUACCCUGGUAGUCCACACCGUAAACGAUGAUUACUAGGUGUUGGAGGAUUGACCCCUUCAGUGCCGCAGUUAACACAAUAAGUAAUCCACCUGGGGAGUACGACCGCAAGGUUGCAACUCAAAGGAAUUGACGGA
Molecule: ribosomal RNA, 902 nt
Filed under: uncultured Bacillota bacterium
Lineage: Bacteria; Bacillati; Bacillota
Description: bacterial SSU rRNA
Rfam family: Bacterial small subunit ribosomal RNA
Source: RNAcentral